This 273-nucleotide small nuclear RNA is filed under the name Microtus ochrogaster (prairie vole). Its description in RNAcentral is "7SK RNA (ENSMOCG00000009419.1)". It matches the Rfam family "7SK RNA", at positions 5 to 294 of the family's 331-position model. From Rfam's summary of the family: 7SK was discovered as an abundant small nuclear RNA in the mid-70s but a possible function has only recently been suggested. Two independent studies have found that 7SK RNA binds the CDK9/cyclin T complex (known as elongation factor P-TEFb). The record is from RNAcentral. Lineage: Eukaryota; Metazoa; Chordata; Mammalia; Rodentia; Cricetidae.
GUGAGGCAGUAUUGCUGAGAUCUGUUGUCCCGUUCAUCACCAGGGUUGGUUUGGCUGAUAUUGCUGAACAGGCUUGUGCCUAUUCUCUAUUUCUCCCUCAGCAUGCCAAGUAUGUCCUUCCUAAAGCUGCACAAAACGAUGUAAUAGAAUGACCAUCCAAAUAGAAGAGGACUGGGUUUUUUGGUUGAGGAUGUGUUGUAGUUGUACUUCCCUGCUAGAACCUCCAGACAAAAAUAAGGAUUUAAUGUAAAUAUUAAAUGUUUAUUUAAUAUU